Molecule: ribosomal RNA, 466 nt
Filed under: Batrachuperus tibetanus (Tibetan mountain salamander)
Lineage: Eukaryota; Metazoa; Chordata; Amphibia; Caudata; Hynobiidae
Description: partial 16S ribosomal RNA
Rfam family: Bacterial large subunit ribosomal RNA
Source: RNAcentral
UUGUCUUUUAAAUAAAGACCAGUAUGAAUGGCAAGACGAAAGUUCAACUGUCUCCCUAAAUUAAUCAAUGAAAUUGAUCUUCCCGUGCAGAAGCGGGAAUAAAAUUAUAAGACGAGAAGACCCUAUGGAGCUUUAAAUAUAUGAUCAACUGUAUAAUAUAAAAUUCAAUAGAUUAAGUAUUAAAUAAAACAUUAUGAUCAAAAUUUUAGGUUGGGGCGACCACGGAGAAAAACAAAACCUCCGAGAUGAAAAGAGUAUCUUAAUUUAUGAACUACAGUUCUAAUAAAUAAAAUAUUUAACAUAAUUGAUCCAAUUUAUUGAUCAACGAACUAAGUUACCCUAGGGAUAACAGCGCAAUCCUUUCCAAGAGUCCCUAUCGACGAAUGGGUUUACGACCUCGAUGUUGGAUCAGGACACCCCAAUGGUGCAGCCGCUAUUAAAGGUUCGUUUGUUCAACGAUUAAAGU